RNAcentral lists this ribosomal RNA (554 nucleotides) under uncultured bacterium. Its description in RNAcentral is "partial 16S ribosomal RNA". It matches the Rfam family "Bacterial small subunit ribosomal RNA", at positions 355 to 900 of the family's 1533-position model. The record is from RNAcentral.
UAGGGAAUCUUCCACAAUGGACGCAAGUCUGAUGGAGCAACGCCGCGUGAGUGAAGAAGGUUUUCGGACCGUAAAGCUCUGUUGUUGGUGAAGAAGGAUAGAGGUAGUAACUGGCCUUUAUUUGACGGUAAUCAACCAGAAAGUCACGGCUAACUACGUGCCAGCAGCCGCGGUAAUACGUAGGUGGCAAGCGUUGUCCGGAUUUAUUGGGCGUAAAGCGAGCGCAGGCGGAAGAAUAAGUCUGAUGUGAAAGCCCUCGGCUUAACCGAGGAAUUGCAUCGGAAACUGUUUUCUUGAGUGCAGAAGAGGAGAGUAGAACUCCAUGUGUAGCGGUGGAAUGCGUAGAUAUAUGGAAGAAUACCGGUGGCGAAGGCGGCUCUCUGGUCUGCAACUGACGCUGAGGCUCGAAAGCAUGGGUAGCGAACAGGAUUAGAUACCCUGGUAGUCCAUGCCGUAAACGAUGAGUGCUAAGUGUUGGGAGGCUUCCGCCUCUCAGUGCUGCAGCUAACGCAUUAAGCACUCCGCCUGGGGGAGUACGACCGCAAGGUUGAAAC